Molecule: ribosomal RNA, 265 nt
Filed under: uncultured bacterium
Lineage: Bacteria
Description: partial 16S ribosomal RNA
Rfam family: Bacterial small subunit ribosomal RNA
Source: RNAcentral
GUCCACGCCCUAAACGAUGCGAACUGGACGUUUGGUGCAAUUGAGCAUUCAGUGUCGAAGCUAACGCGUUAAGUUCGCCGCCUGGGGAGUACGGUCGCAAGACUGAAACUCAAAGGAAUUGACGGGGGCCCCGCACAAGCGGUGGAGUAUGUGGUUUAAUUCGAUGCAACGCGCAGAACCUUACCUGGUCUUGACAUCCACGGAAUCUUGCAGAGAUGCGGGAGUGCCUUCGGGAACCGUGAGACAGGUGCUGCAUGGCUGUCGU